AUGAAGGGGUAUGAUCAACGAGAGGAGGAGAUGGAAACGUCAACCUCGUCUACCGAACUCCCAGAAGGCAAAACAAAGGCAUAGCUCUGUCUCUGAGAGAACCAGUGUUCUUUAAAUCCUCUUAGUUUUUGCCAUGAUGAAGUCACAGAAUACUUCAAAUACAAAUCUUUUAAAAAGAUCAACUGAUGUCUUUUACAUAUAUAGUAAGGCCAAGUAAUAAUCUUCUUUUAUGUAAUUAUAAGUUAAUGCAAUCUUAUGAAAGAACAAAGAUGAUGGUGCCAGACAACACUUGCAUCACUAAGUCAAAAAGUAUGUAUGCACCUGAUGUGUCUAAAAUCCAAUUUAAUUUCAUGUAAUUCAUUCAGAACCAAAAAUGUUUUCUUUCUAGAUGUUACUUUAUGGCAGCAUGUGACUUUAGGCCCAAAGACAGUGAGCAAAGGAACAUCUAUGUUUCUUUAAAGAUGUGUCACCUUAUCCCUGCCCUACAUGAUCCAAAUUGAUAAAAUUCAACUUUCAGCAGGUAACUUGCUAUUCCGAUCAUUUCAUCUGCACUGAAAAGUGACUUACUCUAUUUGUUAUAAAAAGCUCGGACUUUGGUACAAAGACCCCUGAGUGAUUCUAAAUGGAACCUUGAAAACAAACAGGUGCCUACGUUCUAAUUAUUCUCCUACUACAAUCUAGACAUUUUAGAAAACAUGUUUCAUUAAAAAGUCUUCUAUCAGGUCAUUUAUCUUCGAACGUUUCAUUUGCUGAUGGAGACAGUACCACUUACAUGAGAAGAUGUUCUACAACGGCAACCUGGAUGUUUUACCACCAACAGCUACGAUCUCUAAUCUCAACCUGCUGCAAGCUGCUCUCACCAGGCCUUGGAAGACAAGCAAGCUGAAAGCCAAGGGGAUACAGGUGUGGUCAGAGGCCUCUUGGACGCCACGUAAGAAAUAAAACCGAGCUAGAUGCGGAGUUCUUGUGCUGUGGCCUCUACACCUGUCAUUUCCAAACGUCCCGUGAUGACUUGAAGUCAGACAUCACGGAGUUCACCCCUCUAGGAGUGUCAGAACUCGGAGGGAUGAUGAGGAGACACACCGUCAUCAUAAUCAGUGACUGUGACAACCGCCCCUUGUCCUGUAAGACGAGCACCACAGGCGUAACUCUUCUCGUCCUCGUGCGACUCUAGAAGGAAGGAACUACUAGUAGUCACUUUUUCAAGUGAGGGACGGAAGGGUAAAUAGUGGUUCUAAGGUCACACAGCGAGCGACCAGUGAACCCUGGGAAUAAAGUCCUUGAGCCCAGAUGGCGACAGGAGUCGGGGGGAGAGCCGUGACCUCGCUGGUCACACUUGCUCUCCUGCUAACUCUCCUGGUGAGUCUGGGAGAAACACAGGCUGCUGGCCCCAUCCAGUCUGUGGUUUUGAGAGCUAGGGUUUUGGGGAAUCCUAAAACAGGCCUUGCCUAUCGACUCUCUCAUUUGACUCAAAACGCGUCCAUCAGUCCGCGUUUCUGGGUGCUCACUGCGAGCCAGACACUGGGGUGAGCGUUUCCACCCACAUCUUCCCGCUGAAUCCUCGUGUCGCCUCUACGGAUAGCCGUGCUAGUAGCCCUACUUUACAGGUGACCUAGAGCUUGGACAGGAGAAGCAACCGACUUGAGAGCAGGGGAAAUGGGAACCUGCCCACUACACUGAACUACGUCAUGGGGAAUCUGUGGCUGAAUAAUUUCUCAGGCGAACAUUUUAAUUUACCAAAAAUAUGCUGUUAAAAGAGUCGCCAGAUCUCGAGUUUGUUGGUUGUUAGUUGACCUCACUGUCCGACAUUGCAUCAUUGGAAGAGGAGGAAGUUUUCCAGACAUUACACCAUAAAGGCUUAGACAGUAUUACUAUUCUUUUAUAUAUCAACCUUUAAAUCAUAAAACUCAACUCACCUGGUAAGGUAAGAGUUGACCAGGCUCUAUUUGCGUGUUUGAACGUCUGAACCUGAGUAUCUGCUGCACACAUGCACACUCAUUACCCUUGCUGCCUACGGGCCUUCAGCUCAGAGGCCGUUGUCUUUUAUUUAUUUGUUUGACUUGAUUUAGUAGGAGGCUGAGCCACUUAAUAAUUCAUGAAUAUACUCCUGUGGGUAAUGAGUCCUAUAAAGCCAUUAGAAAAAAAAACAGUCUCCAUUCUCUUGAGUAGGUUCACCAGUCUGCCUGCCACUGUGUUGAAAGUAUCAGAUUUUGUGCAAACACUUCCUUCCUAAAUGAUUAAAAGGAAAACUUUUCACAAAAAGCUUCACUCUGGGAGAAUGACCCCAAUCCGAUCCAAACUCCUCUAUCAAAGUGCUCCCUGACGGGUGUAAUGCAGGGCACUGGGUCUAGAUCUUUGAACCAGAACAUGUAUUCGUUAUGAGAAAUCCUAUGUUUUAUAAUA
Long non-coding RNA from Canis lupus familiaris (dog), 2403 nucleotides. RefSeq lists it as uncharacterized. The record is from RefSeq and is a predicted model, not a curated record. The transcript has 4 exons. Lineage: Eukaryota; Metazoa; Chordata; Mammalia; Carnivora; Canidae.